RNAcentral lists this ribosomal RNA (775 nucleotides) under uncultured Neocallimastigales. RNAcentral's name for it is "partial large subunit ribosomal RNA". It matches the Rfam family "Eukaryotic large subunit ribosomal RNA", at positions 20 to 640 of the family's 3401-position model. Lineage: Eukaryota; Fungi; Neocallimastigomycota; Neocallimastigomycetes; Neocallimastigales. The record is from RNAcentral.
UACUAGAGUAGCACUCGCAUAUCAAUAAGCGGAGGAAAAGAAACUAACAAGGAUUCCCCUAGUAACGGCGAGUGAAGCGGGAAGAGCUCAAAUUUGAAAUCUUAAAGGGUUUCCCUUUACGAAUUGUAGUUUAAAGAAGUGUUUUCUGUUGAGGUUUUGGUAAAAGUUCUUUGGAAUAGGACAUCAUAGAGGGUGAGAAUCCCGUAUUUGACCUUUACUUUCAACUUUGUGAUACACUUUCAAAGAGUCGGAUUGUUUGGGAAUGCAGUCCAAAAUGGGUGGUAAAUUUCAUCUAAAGCUAAAUAUUGGCGAGAGACCGAUAGCGAACAAGUACCGUGAGGGAAAGAUGAAAAGAACUUUGAAAAGAGAGUUAAACAGUACGUGAAAUUGUCAAAAGGGAAGCGUUUGACACCAGUGUUGUUUUUCUGAAAAUCAAUUAAAGAACUGUAUAUGCUAAGCUGUUUAGACUUUAUCAGCUAUCCUGUUUAGUUUUGAGCUUUUCUUUAAUGCACUUUUCAGUUAACAAGUCAACAUCAAUUUCUUUUGCUGUAAAAAAGCUUGAGGAAGGUGGCUUGAGAUUCGUCUUAAGUGUUUAUAGCCUCUUGCCUAUGCAGUCGGAGAGAUUGAGGUCUGCAGCGUAGAUCCUUCGGGGCUAAAUGCAUUUGUGCUAAGUUAUAACAUUUUAUAGACAACUUGUUGACUAUGAUUUGUCUUGUAGCUUACUCGCUUAUGUUAUUUUACCUACGCUUAGGAUGUUGAUCUACAGAGCGAGAGU